RNAcentral lists this long non-coding RNA (2518 nucleotides) under Equus caballus (horse). RNAcentral describes it as "lncRNA (ENSECAG00000043272.2)". The record is from RNAcentral. Lineage: Eukaryota; Metazoa; Chordata; Mammalia; Perissodactyla; Equidae.
AAGGAGAGCAGUGAGGAGACCUCCCGGAGGUCUGGACGGGGUAGGGUAUGGACUGGGAGGAGUGACAGGGAAGCCAGACAUCACAGAGCAGACCACCUGACCAAAGAAUGAGCACACAGUUGCGGGGAGUGGUGCAGAUAAGGGAACCCCGCCCCUCUGCCACAAGGCUAGUCUGUCAGGUCAGCCAAAUCCACUGAAGCCAUACUGGAAGAACCUUGUGACCCUCUCACAAGAGCAGCUCCCACAGCGCCCAGUGCCUGGCAUGUGCUCCACAGACACACGAAGAAAUGAAGGCGGGUACAGGAGAGGAAGGGGACAAGAGGACAGAGGAAGGUCAGAAUGGCCUGCUUCACCAAUUGCCCCCUGCCCUGCCAUCCACCGCCAACUCCAGGCCCCACGAUGGCCCACCAGGGCACCAGACCAUGUGCAAGGAUGUCUGAGAGAUGCCCAGCGUGGGUGGGUGCUCCCUCCCCCCUGCCUCCGCUCCUCCUCCUCCCCGGAACUGCCGCCUCCUCCGCCUGAGUGGCUGAUGCCCUCUGGGUUCUGUUUUCAUUCCAGGCUGUGGAUCCGGUCGUGGGAAGCAGCUUUCUGUGCCUCAGCCCUCCACAGAGAAGACUGCUAGGCCUGAGCUGACUCCCCUGGAAACCCCAGACUCCAGUGACGUGCUUCUGGAACCUGCUCAGACAAAGUUAGGUAAGAGCCUGGGCAGUGGGUGGGUUGCAACACCCAGCCUGGCUGACCAGAAAGCUGAAGAGGACUGGAAGUUCAAGAAGAAGUAGAGAGGAGGUGGAGAGAGAGAAAGGGCAGAAGGAGGAGACAUCGAAGACCUCCCGAACAUCUUCUGUGGGAUCUCAGAGAAGGCAAAGCUCACCCUCCUGACUCCAGGACUCAUUUGUGUCCAGCCACUGAAUUAUCUACUUGUUACCCCUCCUGUGGAUCUCUCCCGAGGGAAAGAUCUACCUUGGAAGGCUGGUAAUAAAAGAUGUGGAGCUGAGCCACCUUUGGCCACGUAGAUGAAGACACCUUAGAAGAUGGCAGAGACACAAAAUGGAAAAGCCCUGGGUCUCCAUAAGAUGACAUGGUGGACAUCUGCCCUGCCAGUCUGGACCAUUCAUUUCCAGACUAUGAGUGAGAAAUAUGCUUCCAUCUUAUUUAAGCAACUGUAUUUGGAUAUUUGAAGUGUUUCAUGAUCACGAUAAGAAUUACCGCCACCCACAGUAUCCAUCGCAGUGGGCAGAGCCCGUGGCAGUGAGCAUGCAGCUUGGCUCCCCAGCUCUGGUCCCAUCUCUACUGCUCUGGAGCUAUGGCACUUGGAAAAGUUUCUUCGCUUCUCAAGCCUCAGUGUCCUCAUCUGUAAAAUAAGGAUAAUAAUAGGACUUUCCUUAGAGUAUUUUUGUGAGGCUUACAUGAGUUAAAAUGUAAGGUGCUUAGUGUAAUGCUGGGCACACAACGAGUACAACAUAAGCAUCAGAUUUUUCUUCCUAUUUCUCAACCUGUGACACUCAGCUGUCAUCUCUGUGAAACUUUCCAGGACACUGUCCCCAUGUCUAAUCCAUCUAUCAAGACUGGGCCAAGGAGAACUGGGCGCUCCAUCCUGACUUCCACCUUGCUUAAUUGUGUAGCAUAACUAUUUGUCUGUCUGUCUGCCUGACUAUACUGCUCUCUUAUUUAUCUUUGUGUCCCUGAUGUCUGGCAAUGAUAGGAAUGUAAGAAUCAUUGUGGAUGACUGAAAGAACAAACAAAAAAAUGAACAAGUGAACGUCCCUCCUGUCUCCAGUGCAUCCACUAGUGUUUUCUCCCAUCCCCCCUCCUCUUUCCAGGCGCCCUGGACUAUUAGACUGGCUUAAGUCCCUCCAAUCACAGAAGAAAUACUUGACCAAGAGUCAUUACUCUAAACAAACACUCUUUCGGGGUUGUAAAAGAAACCCAUAUGUAGAAGGCAAGGUUAACACAAAGGAAAGAGUCUCUAAUGGUAGAAUCUAAGAUUCUAAGGCACGCACGUGUGCACACGCACACACACCAUCUAUCUCUGCUCAGAGGGAUUAUCUCAGCAAGUGAGACAUAUUGGAAGGUAAUGUGGGAACAGAGCUCUCAGGGAAAAAGUUGUGAAUGUUCUUUGAAGAGUUGUGCGUGAGUCACAUUUUUAAAAAACACAAAUCAUAUUCCUAGUGAAUAAAAGAAUGUUUUUAAUUUACUGGAGGACCUGGCUAGUUAAAUCUUAUUGUGAACUCUUUAUUAAAGACUGAAGUAAGGAAUUCUUUUGUUAAGUAAAUAUUCAGGCCCUUCCUUGCCAAAGAGCUUUUGAAAUCUUUGCUGUAAUUAUGCUGAUGUUUUCUGUGUUUAUAUGUUAAAUGCCUAGAGCUUAAUUGUUAAUGGGUAAAUAAGAGGAGCCACACGGUCCUUGCCAAGAGAGGCCCAAGAACCAGGGCUGUAAGAACAAUGGUUCCGCGGGGCUCCCCUGGAGGGGGUGAAAGGCAGUAGGGUAAGCCAGCGGCUUGGGCUCUUCUCUGUAGGCACG